RNAcentral lists this ribosomal RNA (333 nucleotides) under uncultured bacterium. Its description in RNAcentral is "bacterial SSU rRNA". It matches the Rfam family "Bacterial small subunit ribosomal RNA", at positions 774 to 1103 of the family's 1533-position model. The record is from RNAcentral.
AGGUAAUAGAUACCCUGGUAGUCCUAGCAGUAAACGGUGCAUGCUUGGUAUGGGGACAUAGACAUUCUCCGUGCCGUAGUUAACACGUUAAGCAUGCCGCCUGGGAAGUACGGUCGCAAGACUAAAACUCAAAGAAAUUGACGGGGACCCGCACAAGCGGUGGAGUAUGUGGCUUAAUUCGAUGCAACGCGAUGAACCUUACCUGGACUUGACAUGCAUCUAUAAACGGCGGAAACGUCGUGAUUGUAGCAAUACAAAAAUUUGCACAGGUGCUGCAUGGCUGUCGUCAGCUCGUGUCGUGAGAUGUUGGGUUAAGUCCCGCAACGAGCGACC